This 253-nucleotide ribosomal RNA is filed under the name uncultured bacterium. RNAcentral's name for it is "partial 16S ribosomal RNA". It matches the Rfam family "Bacterial small subunit ribosomal RNA", at positions 524 to 776 of the family's 1533-position model. The record is from RNAcentral.
UACGGAGGGUCCAAGCGUUAUCCGGAAUCAUUGGGUUUAAAGGGUCCGUAGGCGGUUUUGUAAGUCAGUGGUGAAAGCCCAUCGCUCAACGGUGGAACGGCCAUUGAUACUGCAAGACUUGAAUUAUUAGGAAGUAACUAGAAUAUGUAGUGUAGCGGUGAAAUGCUUAGAUAUUACAUGGAAUACCAAUUGCGAAGGCAGGUUACUACCAAUAUAUUGACGCUGAUGGACGAAAGCGUGGGGAGCGAACAGG